This 488-nucleotide ribosomal RNA is filed under the name uncultured bacterium. Its description in RNAcentral is "bacterial SSU rRNA". It matches the Rfam family "Bacterial small subunit ribosomal RNA", at positions 32 to 518 of the family's 1533-position model. The record is from RNAcentral.
AACGCUGGCGGCGUGCCUAACACAUGCAAGUCGAACGGAGUUAUUAUGGAAGCUCUCGGAACGGAAGUUUUAACUUAGUGGCGGACGGGUGAGUAACGCGUGAGUAACCUGCCUUUCAGAGGGGGAUAACGUCUGGAAACGGACGCUAAUACCGCAUAACAUAUUUGAGUCGCAUGGCUUAGAUAUCAAAGGAGUAAUCCGCUGAAAGAUGGACUCGCGUCUGAUUAGAUAGUUGGUGGGGUAACGGCCUACCAAGUCAACGAUCAGUAGCCGGACUGAGAGGUUGAACGGCCACAUUGGGACUGAGACACGGCCCAGACUCCUACGGGAGGCAGCAGUGGGGGAUAUUGCACAAUGGGCGCAAAGCCUGAUGCAGCAACGCCGCGUGAGGGAAGACGGUUUUCGGAUUGUAAACCUCUGUCUUUGGUGAAGAAACAAAUGACGGUAACCAAGGAGGAAGCCACGGCUAACUACGUGCCAGCCGCGGC